CCUACGGGGGGCUGCAGUGGGGAAUAUUGGACAAUGGGGGCAACCCUGAUCCAGCCAUGCCGCGUGUGUGAAGAAGGCCCUCGGGUUGUAAAGCACUUUCAGUGAGGAAGAACGCCUGGUGGUUAAUACCCAUCAGGAAAGACAUCACUCACAGAAGAAGCACCGGCUAACUCCGUGCCAGCAGCCGCGGUAAUACGGAGGGUGCGAGCGUUAAUCGGAAUUACUGGGCGUAAAGCGCGCGUAGGUGGCUUGAUAAGCCGGUUGUGAAAGCCCCGGGCUCAACCUGGGAACGGCAUCCGGAACUGUCAAGCUAGAGUGCAGGAGAGGAAGGUAGAAUUCCCGGUGUAGCGGUGAAAUGCGUAGAGAUCGGGAGGAAUACCAGUGGCGAAGGCGGCCUUCUGGACUGACACUGACACUGAGGUGCGAAAGCGUGGGUAGCAAACAGGAUUAGAUAACCUUGUAGUC
This 465-nucleotide ribosomal RNA is filed under the name Vreelandella stevensii. RNAcentral describes it as "partial 16S ribosomal RNA". It matches the Rfam family "Bacterial small subunit ribosomal RNA", at positions 338 to 795 of the family's 1533-position model. Lineage: Bacteria; Pseudomonadati; Pseudomonadota; Gammaproteobacteria; Oceanospirillales; Halomonadaceae. The record is from RNAcentral.